CGCGAACCACUUUGUGCCGCUGUUGCCUUUGCAGUUGCUGUUUUCCAUGUUGCUACUGCGGCCAAUUGUUGCGCAUCAGCAACAUCAACAACAUCAACAACAGCAGCAGCAACUGCAGUAGCAGCACUCGUGAUUCACUUUCGA
This is a non-coding RNA of Drosophila melanogaster (fruit fly), 144 nucleotides long. The record is from Ensembl. Lineage: Eukaryota; Metazoa; Arthropoda; Insecta; Diptera; Drosophilidae.